RNAcentral lists this unclassified non-coding RNA (240 nucleotides) under soil metagenome. RNAcentral's name for it is "partial contains 5.8S ribosomal RNA, internal transcribed spacer 2, and large subunit ribosomal RNA". The record is from RNAcentral.
AACUGAUACUACCUGCGGGAACCUGCGGAGGGAUCAUUAUCUAUAACCGGGUGUGGCUGCGGCCUCCGGGGGCGUGGGCGUCGAGACGAUGCCCUCUCUUCCGGGUGGUAGAGGUAAAACUCUCACGCGCCACAUGUCUGAAUCCUUUUUUUACGAGCACCUUUCGUUCUCCUUCGGUGGGGGUGACCUGCCGUUGGAACCCAUCAAAACUCUUUUUGCAUCUAGCAUUACCUGUUCUGA